RNAcentral lists this ribosomal RNA (253 nucleotides) under uncultured bacterium. RNAcentral describes it as "partial 16S ribosomal RNA". It matches the Rfam family "Bacterial small subunit ribosomal RNA", at positions 524 to 776 of the family's 1533-position model. The record is from RNAcentral.
UACGAAGGGGGCUAGCGUUGUUCGGAAUUACUGGGCGUAAAGGGCGCGUAGGCGGCGUGUCAAGUCAGGCGUGAAAGCCCCGGGCUCAACCUGGGAACCGCGCUUGAGACUGGCACGCUCGAGUUCGGGAGAGGAUGGUGGAAUUCCCAGUGUAGAGGUGAAAUUCGUAGAUAUUGGGAAGAACACCGAUGGCGAAGGCAGCCAUCUGGACCGACACUGACGCUGAGGCGCGAAAGCGUGGGGAGCAAACAGG